Long non-coding RNA from Labeo rohita (rohu), 522 nucleotides. RefSeq lists it as uncharacterized. Lineage: Eukaryota; Metazoa; Chordata; Actinopteri; Cypriniformes; Cyprinidae. The transcript has 4 exons. The record is from RefSeq and is a predicted model, not a curated record.
UCUGAAACGCGCUCUGCAGGUAGGACAGGUAACAGAUCUUUCUGCUUCAGAAACACUUCAGAUCGAAAACAACAGUGAAAACCUCACUGAUGAGAAGACGCCAUUAAAUAUCACACCUCACGCAACGAGGCAGUCAUGGCAGUAGAUGACAGUCAUGGCCUAAUGGUUAGAGAGUCGGAACCCAAAGGGUGUGGGUUCGAGUCUCAGGUCCAGCAGGGAUUGUAGGUGGGAGAAGUGAAUAUCCAGUACUCUCUCCACCCUCAAUACCACAACUGAGUCACUCAUUAUGGAGAACAGAGAGAGCAGUGAGAGAUCUUCAUCUCCAAAACCCAUCGGAGAGUCUCUGCAGAGCAACAGAUCCAUGAAUCCCCCUAAAUCCAGUGAUGAUCCAGUGACCUUUGACCCCAGUAUCUACAGUAAGAGAUCUUCAUCUCCAGAACCCAGCUGUGUGUCUCUGAAGAGUGACAGAUCAGAAGGUCAUCCUCCUGAUCUCAGUGAAGAAGCAGUGACCUCUGACCCCAG